UAGAUUCCACUUUAGGGUUAUUAUGAAUAAAGCUGCUAUGAACAUUCUUGUACAAGUCAUUCACACAUUACGUUUUUCUUGGGAAAAAUAUCGGAAUGGAAUUGCUGAGUAUAGGGGAUGUGUUUCUCAGAAACUGUCAAACAAUUUUCCAAAGUGUCUGUCCUCCUUUAUACUCCCAUGAGCAGUGUACAUGAUUUCUGUUCUGCUCUACAUUCUUGCCAGCACUCAGUAUUGUCAAGUCAUAUUUGUUUUAGCCAUUAUAGUAUGUAGAGGUGUAUCAUUGUGGUUUUUAAUAUGCUUUUACCUAGUAACUUUUCAUAUACUUUUUGGCUAUGCGGAUACCUUUUUAUGUGAAGUAUUUUUGCCUUUCAUACCCUCAUUGCUAGUCCUGCCCCCCCUUAUCUGAGGGGGACACUUUAGAGAACCCCAGUGAAUGCCUGAGCUGUGGAUAGUACCAACUCUUAAUAAAGAACUAUGUUUUUUCCUGUAUGUACAUAACUAUGAUAAAGCCUAAUUUACAAAUUAGGCACAGGAGGAGAUUAACAGCAAUAACUAAUAAUAGAACAAUGAUAACAGUAUAUAGUAAUAAAAGUUAUAUGAGUGUGAUGUCUCUCAGAAUGUCUUACUGUACUGUUACCUUUCUGGUGAUGAUGUGAUACGCCUACGUGAUGAAAUGAAGUGAGGUAAACAAUGUAGGCAUGGUGAAGUAGCAUUAGGCUAUUAUUGACCUUCUGACACAACGUCAGAAGAGGAUCAUCUGCUUCUGGACCACCGUUGAGUGUAGGUAGCUGAAACUAAAGAAAGCGACACUGUGGGAGGGCGAAAGAAAACAUGGAUGAAGCUUCCUGAAUUUCGGCUUCUGGCAUGAAUCAAGUUCAGAGACUAGGAAGUGCUGGUGUCAUUAUUUCCUUUCAGGUAAACUGUUUUCUAUUGGAGAACCACGAACCUAGGGAAUUACUAAAAAAUUAGAAUUGCCUUUUGAAAUUAGAAAAUUACUUUGUAAAUACUCUGUAGACCUUUUGUUGGUAUUAAAUUUUUAAAUUGCUGGGGUGCCUGGGUGGCUUGGUCGUUAAGCGUCUGCC
Non-coding RNA from Callorhinus ursinus (northern fur seal), 1082 nucleotides. The record is from RefSeq and is a predicted model, not a curated record. NCBI's taxonomy places the organism in Eukaryota, Metazoa, Chordata, Mammalia, Carnivora, Otariidae.